This 423-nucleotide ribosomal RNA is filed under the name uncultured bacterium. RNAcentral describes it as "bacterial SSU rRNA". It matches the Rfam family "Bacterial small subunit ribosomal RNA", at positions 30 to 506 of the family's 1533-position model. The record is from RNAcentral.
AUGAACGCUGGCGGUAUAUAUGACACAUGCGAGUUAAACAAAAAUUCAUUAAUUUUUCGUAGCAUUCGGGUGCGUAAUAUACUGAGAUUAACCUAUCAAUUUAGCUGGUAAAAGGAAUAUUUAUCGUAAUUCUAAAUAUAAAAAAGAUUUAUUGUUGGUAGAUAAAUUGGUAGGAGAUCAGGUAGUUGGUAAGAAUUAGCUUACCAAGCCUAUAACCUUUAGCUGUUUUAGGAGAUUGAUCAGCCACAUUGGAAUUUAAAACGGUUCAAACUUCAUUUGAGGGCAGCAGUGUGGAAUUUUGGACAAUGAGCAGACGCUUGAUCCAGUAAUACCGCUUGGGAUUGAAGGGCUAACGUCGAAAAAGUCCUAUCAGCAUAAGAGAUAAUGACGUUAUAUGUUUUUAUUAGUCCUGGCUAAUUCUGU